UUUUUUUUUACGGUCAGACCCAACCUCGCCACGCAAUUUCCUUCCGGGGCUCAACAUCCGGUGGGUUUUCACUGUGCGGGUUUCUCUUUUGAGGUCAUGGGGUGCGUGAGUGGGCGGAAUAAAGGGUCGGUGUGUUGUGUGUGGGUUUUUCUCUCACUCUCUUCCUCCUUCCCUGUCCGUGCAUCUCGACGCUGGCGAUGGAAAUGGGGUGCCCCCACCCGUCUUGAAACACGGACCAAGGAGUCAAACAGACGCGCAAGGGAGGAGUAUGUAUGUGAGAACUCUUUUCUCGUACUGAAAGGGAGGUGUGAUUUUGCACCCGUGGCGUGCGCAAUUUCUCUUUUUUGUGUUUUUGCCCAACGCCGGCCGGCCCCCCGUGGGCUGCGCGCGAGUGUGCCUGUUUGGACCCGAAAGGUGGUGAGCUAUGCCUGAACAAGGUGAAGCCCGGGGAAACCCCGGUGGAGGCCUGUAGCGAUGCUGGCGUGCAAAUCGCUCGUACGAUUUGGGUAUCGGAGCGAAAGACUCAUCGAACAACCUAGUAGCUGGUUCACGUCGAAGUUUCCCUCAGGAUAGCCGGUGCUUGUCUUUAAGAAGUACUGUGCGGUAAAGCAAAUGAUUAGAGGCAUUGGUGUUCUUGUAAUAUCGACCUGUUCUCAAACUUUAAAUGUACAAACAACCCAGCCUUAGUUAUUUUAACAAGGCUUUUGGGUACAUAAGAAUUGAGGCACCAAGUGGGCCUUCUUCGGUAAGCGGAGCAGGCGAUGCGGAAUGAACCGCUUAGGGAUAUGUGGCGUCAAAACUUGUGGGCUCAUUCUCGAUACGUGAAAAGGGUUUUGGUGAAUAUGGGCAGGUGGACGGUGGCCAUGGAAGUCGGCAUCCGCUAAGGAGUGUGUAACAACUCACCAACCGAAUCCACCGGCCCCGAAAAUGGAUGACGCUUAAGCCCCAUGUGCGUGAUUGCCCAUUAUUCCUCUGGUGAGGGCGGCUAUAUUUCUUUGUGAGAAAGUGUAGCCCUCCCGAUGUAGACGUGGCGCGGGGGUGAGGACGAAGCCGAUGGCGCGAGCCUCGGAUGGACCCGCCUCUAGUGCAGAUCUUGGUUGGCGUAGCAAAGAUCUAACGGAAUAUUUUUUCUUAAAUGCAACGUUGGAUACUGGAGCAGGGAAGGAUUUCGUGCCAACGACACUCGUACACGAGUUGUUCGGUCACUGAGCACAACGUUACACCGUUUUGUUAGGAAAGUGAAGGUGGUCGGCGCACUUCUCCCUUUUUUGGGGUUUGUGUGUUUUACCGGCUUAUCUGAAAAGGGGCAACAGAGAACC
Molecule: ribosomal RNA, 1319 nt
Organism: Trypanosoma brucei brucei TREU927
Lineage: Eukaryota; Euglenozoa; Kinetoplastea; Trypanosomatida; Trypanosomatidae
Source: RefSeq, a predicted model, not a curated record